CGCCUGUUUAUCAAAAACAUCUCUUCUCGUUAGUUUUUGAAGUAUGGCCUGCCCACUGACCUUGAAUGUUGAAGGGCCGCGGUAUUUUGACCGUGCAAAGGUAGCAUAGUCAUUAGUUCUUUAAUUGUGAUCUGGUAUGAAUGGCUUGACGAGGCAUGAGCUGUCUUAAUUUUGAAUUGUUUAUUGAAUUUGGUCUUUGAGUUAAAAUUCUUAGAUGUUUUUAUGGGACGAGAAGACCCUAUAGAGUUUUACAUUUAUUAUGGUCUCUUUCUGUUUGUGAGGGUUCACUAGGGCUGUUUAAUAUGUUUUGUUGGGGUGAUGGGAGGGAUAUUGUUUAACCCCUCCUUUGUGUUGUUAUAUUUAUUUAUAUUUGCUUGAUCCAUUUAUUUUGAUUGUAAGAUUAAAUUACCUUAGGGAUAACAGCGUAA
This 428-nucleotide ribosomal RNA is filed under the name Reticulitermes flavipes (eastern subterranean termite). RNAcentral's name for it is "partial 16S ribosomal RNA". It matches the Rfam family "Archaeal large subunit ribosomal RNA", at positions 1889 to 2554 of the family's 2987-position model. The record is from RNAcentral. Lineage: Eukaryota; Metazoa; Arthropoda; Insecta; Blattodea; Rhinotermitidae.